This 164-nucleotide small nuclear RNA is filed under the name Camelus bactrianus (Bactrian camel). RNAcentral describes it as "U1 spliceosomal RNA". It matches the Rfam family "U1 spliceosomal RNA". Rfam says of the family: U1 is a small nuclear RNA (snRNA) component of the spliceosome (involved in pre-mRNA splicing). Its 5' end forms complementary base pairs with the 5' splice junction, thus defining the 5' donor site of an intron. Lineage: Eukaryota; Metazoa; Chordata; Mammalia; Artiodactyla; Camelidae. The record is from Rfam by way of RNAcentral. RNAcentral also lists the same sequence under 1 other name.
AUACUUACCUGGCAGGGGAGAUACCGUGAUCACGAAGAUGGUUUUCCCAGGGCGAGGCUUAUCCAUUGCACUCUGGAUAUGCUGACCCCUGCAAUUUCCCCAAAUGUGGGAAACUCGAAUGCAUUAUUUGUGGUAGUGGGGGACUGCGUUCGCGCUUUCCCCUU